GCGUUAGUAUAGUAGUGGUUUCUAACUAGCCGCCCCCCCAAGGCGGAGACGGGAGUUCGAAUCUCCCCUAACGCA
Glarea lozoyensis 74030 is the source of this 75-nucleotide transfer RNA. It matches the Rfam family "tRNA". Rfam says of the family: Transfer RNA (tRNA) molecules are approximately 80 nucleotides in length. Their secondary structure includes four short double-helical elements and three loops (D, anti-codon, and T loops). NCBI's taxonomy places the organism in Eukaryota, Fungi, Ascomycota, Leotiomycetes, Helotiales, Helotiaceae. The record is from Rfam.